GGCAAUUGCACUGCGGCGUAUUGCUCUCCCUUCCCUCUGUGAUGACUGUUAUGGUGGAAGUGGAAGACAUUUUGCAUGUUCUUAGUCACUGCCAUCAAGCUCGGGGAUUUUUGUUGGGUUUGGUUGAUCCCAAUUUUGUGGGAGAUUAUUUUGAUCCCAAUUUGAAGGUUACAGAAGGGAUGCAAUUGAAAUUAAGAAGGAACGACCUCGUGAAUUUUAAAUGUUCCAGGAAUGGCUCACUGUCCCUUCCUCGGGCUGAGACGUCGGUGUCUUGGAGGGACCCUGAUCAUGGAUUUAACAAGCUCAAUACCGGUGGGUCGAGAAGAGAGAACACUGGAGAAGCGUCAGCAGGGGGUCUUAUGCGGGAUUUUGUGGGAAAUUGCUGCAGAGGUUUUGUUUCCAACUUAGGUCGUUGCUCUAUUCUGGCUGCGGAAAUCUGGGAAAGGUUUGAAAUUAGCCAAAGCGAUGGGAAUAACUCAGAUCAUGGUUGAGUGCUAUAAUGAAAUUGCAGUGGUUAUUUUGCAGGGAAGGAUUGAGGGGCAUCCUAUGGUUUAUGCUCUGGUCAAGGAAGUCAAGAGAUUUCUUGAGAUGGAUUGGGAUGUCAGAAUUCAGCAUGUGUAUAGAGAAGCUAAUUUCUCUGCAGAUUGGAUGGCAAAUUUUGCCUCGAGCUUUCCUCUGGGAACGCAUCAGAUUGCUCUUCCGCCUGUGGCUCGCUCACGAUGCUGUUGGCACUGCCUAUUCUAUGAAUGUGGUUGCGUAGUUUGUUUUCUUAGCCUUUGGGCUCGUUGUUUCCACCCAAAAAAUAGAAAGCACUUGAACAAACAUGUACUCAUCCCACUUUUCAGAUAAAAUUCAAUCUCCUCUCUGGCUGUCUCAUUUUCUAUUUCUGUGUAUCUUACUCGUUGCUCACCUGGCAUGUCGUCACUGCUAAGAUCACUAUAACUCUCAACAUCUCUAUAUAAAGAGCAUUCCUCAUUCUGCACUUACCAUCUCAACACUCCCAAUACCUUCAUCCAUUAUCGUUUCUCCACUGAAGAACUCGCUUCAACCAAUGGCUGCUACUGCUUUGGAUAAGAGCGUGCCAGAGAACUGGCCUCCAGUGCUGGAACCCACUGCUGAGCAACCUCCACUCUUCGAUGGA
Molecule: unclassified non-coding RNA, 1141 nt
Filed under: Hevea brasiliensis (rubber tree)
Lineage: Eukaryota; Viridiplantae; Streptophyta; Magnoliopsida; Malpighiales; Euphorbiaceae
Source: RNAcentral